AGCGAACGCUGGCGGCAGGCUUAACACAUGCAAGUCGAGCGGGCGUAGCAAUACGUCAGCGGCAGACGGGUGAGUAACGCGUGGGAACGUACCUUUUGGUUCGGAACAACACAGGGAAACUUGUGCUAAUACCGGAUAAGCCCUUACGGGGAAAGAUUUAUCGCCGAAAGAUCGGCCCGCGUCUGAUUAGCUAGUUGGUGAGGUAACGGCUCACCAAGGCGACGAUCAGUAGCUGGUCUGAGAGGAUGAUCAGCCACAUUGGGACUGAGACACGGCCCAAACUCCUACGGGAGGCAGCAGUGGGGAAUAUUGGACAAUGGGCGCAAGCCUGAUCCAGCCAUGCCGCGUGAGUGAUGAAGGCCCUAGGGUUGUAAAGCUCUUUUGUGCGGGAAGAUAAUGACGGUACCGCAAGAAUAAGCCCCGGCUAACUUCGUGCCAGCAGCCGCGGUAAU
This 452-nucleotide ribosomal RNA is filed under the name uncultured bacterium. RNAcentral's name for it is "bacterial SSU rRNA". It matches the Rfam family "Bacterial small subunit ribosomal RNA", at positions 29 to 524 of the family's 1533-position model. The record is from RNAcentral.